CGGCCCAGGAUCCUGCGCCCACAGUGCCACCCAGGCGCCCCAAGCAGGAGGAGAGCGCCUUGUGCCCUCUAAGGUAGACUGGCUCUGGCCAGGGAGGCUCCAUGCAGGACUCCUCAGAAACCAGGAAGAGCCCUGGGGCAGCUGCAUCGCGCCAAAGGGACCCAUCCGGCCCAGGAUCCUGCGCCCACAGUGGCACCCAGGCGCCCCAAGCAGGAGGAGAGCGCCUUUUGCCCUCUAAGGUAGACUGGCUCUGGCCCUGGAGGCUCCAUGCAGGAAGAGCUCUGAGGCAGCUGCAUCGCGCCAAAGGGACCCAUCCGGCCCAGGAUCCUGCGCCCACAGUGCCACCCAGGCAGGAGGAGAGCGCCUUUUGCCCUCUAAGGUAGACUGGCUCUGGCCCUGGAGGCUCCAUGCAGGACUCCUCAGAAACCAGGAAGAGCCCUGGGGCAGCUGCAUCGCGCCAAAGGGACCCAUCCGGCCCAGGAUCCUGCGCCCACAGUGCCACCCAGGCGCCCCAAGCAGGAGGAGAGCGCCUUGUGCCCUCUAAGGUAGACUGGCUCUGUCCAUGGAGGCUCCAUGCAGGAAGAGCCCUGAGGCAGGUGCCUCGCGCCAAAGGGACCCAUCCGGCCAGGAUCCUGCACCCACAGUGGCACCCAGGCGCCCCAAGCAGGAGGAGAGCGCCUUGUGCCCUCUAAGGUAGACUGGCUCUGUCCAUGGAGGCUCCAUGCAAGAAGAGCUCUGAGGCAGCUGCAUCGCGCCAAAGGGACCCAUCCGGCCCAGGAUCCUGCGCCCACAGUGCCACCCAGGCGCCCCAAGCAGGAGGAGAGCGCCUUGUGCCCUCUAAGGUAGACUGGCUCUGUCCAUGGAGGCUCCAUGCAAGAAGAGCUCUGAGGCAGCUGCAUCGCGCCAAAGGGACCCAUCCGGCCCAGGAUCCUGCGCCCACAGUGCCACCCAGGCGCCCCAAGCAGGAGGAGAGCGCCUUUUGCCCUCUAAGGUAGACUGGCUCUGGCCCUGGAGGCUCCAUGCAAGAAGAGCCCUGGGGCAGCUGCAUCGCGCCAAAGGGACCCAUCCGGCCCAGGAUCCUGCGCCCACAGUGCCACCCAGGCGCCCCAAGCAGGAGGAGAGCGCCUUGUGCCCUCUAAGGUAGACUGGCUCUGGCCCUGGAGGCUCCAUGCAGGACUCCUCAGAAACCAGGAAGAGCCCUGGGGCAGGUGCCUCGCGCCAAAGGGACCCAUCCGGCCCAGGAUCCUGCGCCCACAGUGGCACCCAGGCACCCCAAGCAGGAGGAGAGCGCCUUUUGCCCUCUAAGGUAGACUGGCUCUGGCCCGGGAGGCUCCAUGCAGGAAGAGCUCUGAGGCAGCUGCAUCGCGCCAAAGGGACCCAUCCGGCCCAGGAUCCUGCGCCCACAGUGCCACCCAGGCGCCCCAAGCAGGAGGAGAGCGCCUUGUGCCCUCUAAGGUAGACUGGCUCUGGCCAGGGAGGCUCCAUGCAGGACUCCUCAGAAACCAGGAAGAGCCCUGGGGCAGCUGCAUCGCGCCAAAGGGACCCAUCCGGCCCAGGAUCCUGCGCCCACAGUGGCCCCCAGGCGCCCCAAGCAGGAGGAGAGCGCCUUUUGCCCUCUAAGGUAGACUGGCUCUGUCCAUGGAGGCUCCAUGCAAGAAGAGCUCUGAGGCAGCUGCAUCGCGCCAAAGGGACCCAUCCGGCCAGGAUCCUGCGCCAACAGUGCCACCCAGGCGCCCCCAAGCAGGAGGAGAGCACCUUCCCCCCCGCCUUGCCCUCUAAGGUAGACUGGCUCUGUCCAUGGAGCCUCCGUGCAGGAAGAGCCCUGAGGCAGCUGCAUCACGCCAAAGGGGACCCAUCCGGCCCAGGAUCCUGCGCCCACAGUGCCACCCAGGCGCCCCAAGCAGGAGGAGAGCGCCUCUUGCCCUCUAAGGUAGACUGGCUCUGGCCAGGGAGGCUCCGUGCAAGAAGAGCUCUGAGGAAGGUGCAUCGCGCCAAAGGGACCCAUCCGGCCCAGGAUCCUGCCAUAGCUGUCAACUUUCAGAUUUGAAAAUAAGAGAUCAGCAGCCUCCCCUGUCCCGGGGACACUCUAUGGGAGAUCUAACAAUCCGGGGUACCAGUGGGAAACGGCGCUGGAAUAAGGGAAUUUCCCCCCCAAAAAGGGAAGGUCGUGGGGCGCAGGGGGUUCUGUGGUCUAUAAGCCACUGAGACUUGGGCUGCCCAGCGGAAGGUCUGUGGUUCCAGUCCCCAUGACUGAGCUCCCUUGCUCUGUCCCAGCUCCUGCCAACCUAGCAGUUCCAAAGCACACCAGCGCAAGUAGAGAAAUAGGUACCCCUGUGGUGUUUCUGUGCGCUCUGGCACUUCUCACGGUGUCCAUUUGGACCAGAAGCGGUUCAGUCCUGCUGCCCAUAUGACCCGGAAAGCUGUCUGUGGACCAACCUGGGCUCCCUCAGCCUGAAGCGAGAUGAGCUCUGCGCCCCAGUCGCCUUUGACGGGACCUGACCGUCCAGGGGUCCUUGCCUCACCCAGCAGAGGAAGGGAAGGUCCACGUGUUGGACUGAGCAGGAAAAGGGGGGCUGCCUUGGCCUCCCCUUCCCCUUUAGAGCAAGCGCCUCUGGGGCGCAAGAGGGGGGUGCUGGGUCCGCUACUGCCGCUCUCGCUGCCCCUCUCCAACUUCAGCAGGAGCUGUUUAUCCAGAGGGGAGAGAAUCCUGGGAGGAGACAUUUCAUUUCUUUAUUAAAUUUAUAUACCGCCCUAUGCCUGCAGGCUUUCAGGGCAAUUCACAAAAUAAAACCAGAAUAUAAAACCACAGAAUAUUCAAAAUUAAAAACAACCACCACCCGAUAAACCCUCCCCCCAAACACAUUUUAAAAGGCCAUAGGAUGUCAAUCAAAUCAACCAAAGGCCUGGUUAAAAAGGAACAUUUUUACCCGGUGCCUAAAGGUGUAUAUCAAAGGCGCUUGGGGGAACUUCCCUGGGGAGAGCAUUCUUCACGUGGGGAGCCACUGCAGAGAAGGCCCCGUUCCUGUGCUGCCACCCUCCGGACCUCUCAAGGAGGAGGGACACAAAGAAGGGCCUCAGGUGAUCUCAGGGUCCUGGUAGGUUCAUAUGGAGAGAGGCGGUCCUUGAGGAAUUGCAGUCCUGAGAUGUUUAAAGCUUUAUAGGUCAAAACCAGCACACUGAAUGGGCAGCCAGUGCAGUCGGACCAGGAUUGGUGCAAUAUGUUCAAACCGUCUUGCUCCGGUGAGCAACCUGCCCGCUGAAUUCUGCACCAGCUGAAGUUUCCGAACCGUCUUCAGAGGCAGCCCAACGUGUAACGCAUUGCAGUAAUCUAACCUUGAGGUUGCCAGAGCAUAAACAGCAGUAGUUAGGUGAUCCCUGUCCAGACAGAGGCGUAGUUGGGCCACCAGCCGAAGCUGAUGGAAGGCGCUCUGGGCCACGGAGGCCACCUGAGCCUGGAGCGACAGGAAAGGAUCCAGGAGGACCCCAAGCUAUGAAGCUCUCCUUCAGAGGAAGUGUAAUCCCAUCAAGAGCAGGCCAUCUCCCUAGAACGGUAUACUAAAAAUGAUGAAGUUAAAUCAAUGACUUUGGUUAUAAUAUACAAUUUUUAUCAUGGGAAAAGUUAUGGAAUGAGGAUUUGAAGUUUACGGCUUGCUGUUCCGUUAAAAGAAACCUAUAUGAAAAUGAUGUACUGUUGGUACCUAACACUGAGUAAAAUUGCAAAAAUGUAUAGAACCAGCUCAAAUUUGUGCUGGAAAUGUAAAAGGAAAGAAGGUACCUUUUAUCAUAUGUGGUGGUCCUAUGGAGUGGUAAAAGCGUUCUGGGAAAUGAUAUAUACUGAAUUAAAGAAAGCGUUU
This 3854-nucleotide long non-coding RNA is filed under the name Podarcis lilfordi (Lilford's wall lizard). The record is from RNAcentral. Lineage: Eukaryota; Metazoa; Chordata; Lepidosauria; Squamata; Lacertidae.